GACGAACGCUGGCGGCGUGCUUAACACAUGCAAGUCGUACGGUAAGGCCCUUUCGGGGGUACACGAGUGGCGAACGGGUGAGUAACACGUGAGUAACCUGCCCACAACUUUGGGAUAACGCUAGGAAACUGGUGCUAAUACUGGAUAUGUGCUACUGCUGCAUGGUGGGGGUUGGAAAGCUCCGGCGGUUGUGGAUGGACUCGCGGCCUAUCAGCUUGUUGGUGGGGUAGUGGCCUACCAAGGCGGCGACGGGUAGCCGGCCUGAGAGGGUGACCGGCCACAUUGGGACUGAGAUACGGCCCAGACUCCUACGGGAGGCAGCAGUGGAGAAUAUUGCACAAUGGGCGCAAGCCUGAUGCAGCAACGCCGCGUGCGGGAUGACGGCCUUCGGGUUGUAAACCGCUUUCAGCAGGGACGAAGCUUUUUGUGACGGUACCUGCAGAAGAAGCACCGGCUAACUACGUG
This 465-nucleotide ribosomal RNA is filed under the name uncultured bacterium. Its description in RNAcentral is "partial 16S ribosomal RNA". It matches the Rfam family "Bacterial small subunit ribosomal RNA", at positions 28 to 507 of the family's 1533-position model. The record is from RNAcentral.